UACAGAGGUCUCAAGCGUUGUUCGGAUUCAUUGGGCGUAAAGGGCGCGUAGGCGGCGGGGUAAGUCGGGUGUGAAAUCUCAGAGCUUAACUCUGAAACUGCACUCGAUACUGCUCUGCUUGAGGACUGGAGAGGAGACUGGAAUUCACGGUGUAGCAGUGAAAUGCGUAGAUAUCGUGAGGAAGACCAGUGGCGAAGGCGGGUCUCUGGACAGUUCCUGACGCUGAGGCGCGAAGGCCAGGGGAGCAAACGGG
This 253-nucleotide ribosomal RNA is filed under the name uncultured bacterium. RNAcentral describes it as "partial 16S ribosomal RNA". It matches the Rfam family "Bacterial small subunit ribosomal RNA", at positions 524 to 776 of the family's 1533-position model. The record is from RNAcentral.